GAUUAAGGUCUCCGUAGGUGAACCAGCGGAGGGAUCAUUACCGAGUUUACAACUCCCAAACCCCUGUGAACAUACCUUUAUGUUGCCUCGGCGGAUCAGCCCGCGCCCCGUAAAACGGGACGGCCCGCCGCAGGAACCACAAAACUCUGAUUUUAGUGUAACUUCUGAGUCUAAAAAACAAAUAAAUCAAAACUUUCAACAACGGAUCUCUUGGUUCUGGCAUCGAUGAAGAACGCAGCAAAAUGCGAUAAGUAAUGUGAAUUGCAGAAUUCAGUGAAUCAUCGAAUCUUUGAACGCACAUUGCGCCCGCCAGUAUUCUGGCGGGCAUGCCUGUUCGAGCGUCAUUCCAACCCUCAAGCCCCCGGGUUUGGUGUUGGGGAUCGGGCUGUACUCCAGCCCGGCCCCGAAAUCUAGUGGCGGUCUCGCUGCAGCCUCCAUUGCGUAGUAGCUAACACCUCGCAACUGGAACGCGGCGCGGCCAAGCCGUUAAACCCCCAACUUCUGAAUGUUGACCUCGGAUCAGGUAGGGAUACAAUC
Molecule: ribosomal RNA, 537 nt
Filed under: uncultured fungus
Lineage: Eukaryota; Fungi
Description: eukaryotic LSU rRNA
Rfam family: 5.8S ribosomal RNA (bases 191-344)
Source: RNAcentral